GAGAGAGAGGGAGAGAGAGGGAGAGAGAAAGAAAAAGAGAUGGAAAGGAAGAAAGGAAGAGAUAAAAAGAGCUUUCUAAAGCAGUAUAAAAAGUGUGAGAAGACGUGACGAGCUUUAACGGUUACUCUUAAAAGAUUCAACGCCGGGAACAACGUCAACUAGGAAAAAGCUAACAAUAAGUACUACGUGCGAAUACGUACGUGCUCUGGAUCAGUACGUACGAAAGCUUUAUAUCUCGAGGUCAAUUAAAAAAAUGUCAGCCGACGUGAGAGCUGGUCGACCUACAGUGCCAACUAUUCCUCAAUCGAAGAGGCCUACCAUUUUGGUCUAUCCAACAGUUUUACGUCGUUCUUCUUCACCCCUAACUCCACAUCCGAGCCAACCUACGCACUACUGUUUUGUCGGAACGAAAGUAGAGAAAGAAAGAAAAAAAGAAAAAAAAAAAAAAAAAAAAAGGAAAGAAAAAAGUAAAAUAUCACGUGUAAACCUGCUCUAAUCAAAUUUUCCUUUCGACCGAACAAAUUUAAAUUUAUCCGACAUAUAAUUUCAUGAAAUAACACAUUUCCUUAAUAAAGGAAAAUGAAAAAUGUUAUAAUAAUGCGAUGUUUGUAAACUUUUUCUUCUACUUUUUUCCUUUUUACACGUAAAUGCGCCAGCUUUACCGAUUGUGACGGAGAAAAAAAGAAAACAAAGAAAGAAAAAAAAAAGAAAAAAAAAAGAAAAAAAAGGAAAAAAAAAAGAAAAAAAAAAUAGGAAAGAAACUAGCCCGCGCUUUUUACUGACGACAGAACCAUCCUCCCACCAUCUCUUCGCCAAUACCAAUCGACUGGGCACGCGCAUGCGCACGACACACGUCAUCCCAAUGUUUACUUGCAAUAUCAACCGCUAGAUGGAGUUUGUUCUCGCUAACAAAGAGAACUCUCUUCAUAUAUAAUAACUACUUCGGUAGAUGUUAACUUCACUCUGGUUUCCCUUCAAUUCACGCAUAAAUCUUUCGCCUUUUACUAAAGAUUUCCGUGGAGGGGAACAAUUGAUGAGUCUAUAGACUAAUUUUUUGUAGACCCGACGAAAGUUGGGUCAAUAAACGAAAUACCAA
This is a long non-coding RNA of Vespa velutina, 1096 nucleotides long. RefSeq lists it as uncharacterized. NCBI's taxonomy places the organism in Eukaryota, Metazoa, Arthropoda, Insecta, Hymenoptera, Vespidae. The record is from RefSeq and is a predicted model, not a curated record. The transcript is spliced from 3 exons.